This 433-nucleotide ribosomal RNA is filed under the name uncultured bacterium. Its description in RNAcentral is "partial 16S ribosomal RNA". It matches the Rfam family "Bacterial small subunit ribosomal RNA", at positions 29 to 507 of the family's 1533-position model. The record is from RNAcentral.
AACGAACGCUGGCGGCAUGCCUAACACAUGCAAGUCGAACGAGACCUCCGGGUUUAUUGCCGCACGGGUGCGUAACGCGUGGGAACCUGCCCUUAGGUUCGCAAUAACCUCCCGUAAGGGGUACUAAUACCGGAUAAUGUUUUUGGACCAAAGACUUGUCGUCUUUGGUUGGGUCCGGGUUGGAUUAGCUAGUUGGUAGGGUAAAAGCCUACCAAGGGCACGCUCCAUAGCUGGUCGGGGAGGAUGAUCGGCCACGCUGGGACUGAGACACGGCCCAGACUCGUACGGGAGGCAGCAGUGGAGAAUGUUGGACAAAGGGCGAAUGACUGAUGCAGCAAUGCCGGGUGAGAGAUGAAGGCCUUAGGGUUGUAGAGCUCUUUUUCCCGGGAUGGUAAUGACAGUACCGGGAGAAUAAGCGCCGGCUAACUCCGUG